Molecule: non-coding RNA, 454 nt
Organism: Pelobates cultripes (western spadefoot toad)
Lineage: Eukaryota; Metazoa; Chordata; Amphibia; Anura; Pelobatidae
Source: the annotation of a GenBank genome assembly
GGUAAUCAAAGCAACACAUGCAUUCAUUAACAACCCAUGCUUGCUACUAUGUCCCAAAUGAGCUCUGUACACAUUUGAAGUUCAUUAGUUUUCUAGCAAAAUAAUUUGCUGCCAUGAUAAAAUGGGUUAACAUAAAUGCAGCUUAGUUGUUGUCGGAAACGGAUGCUCUUAUCGCCUCGUCAAGAUUUUCUGUGUGUAAAACUAUCUAGUUUCUUUUCCUUUCCCAGACAAGCAUGCUUUUGGGCUGUCAUGCAUGGGUACCUUAAUAAUUUUUAAAUGGCUUAGAAAAUUUAAUCUUCAAAUAAAACAUCUGUGAAAUGGCCAGAGUCACCUGUCCUUGGCUGGAAAUACUCGUGGUUACCAAGCAUGAAAGGAGGGAAUUUUCCCAUGAGAGCGUAGCAGGAAUAAUUUAGGUCAGAAAAGGUUUAUUGUGACAUUUCAUCCUGGCUGUGGC